UGCUAAAAAGCUUGUUCUACAAAUAAACUCUGGAAGGUAUCGGAAAGAGAGCUGCAUUAUUAAGAUGAAAGCAGAAAGAGAGCAGGGAUGGAGGAGAGGACAGUGAUACACUGCGUGAUUCUUAGUGGAGCACAACACGUGGGCAUGUUUGGUGGAGGCAGAGCACAAACCUCAUCUCACCCAAAGACAGACUGCCGUGUGUCAUAGUGCUAAUGCACAGAUUAUCUCAGCAGCAAAUAAAUUUUGUUGCUAAGAUUGGAGUAUUCAGGCAAUUUGGGACGUGAUUUGCUGGUAUAAAAAUACACUUUAAGAAAAUAAACUGCUGUUACGAGCAAUUUCACUUACUCAGAGGCACUGAAAGUGGGUUGGAGGAGGAAAAUGGGACGGAAGUACUAAAACCUAAGCUCCCCAUGACCAAAAAGGCUGUAACAGCUCUCUAUGCCAGCAUGGGCUCCCUUUGGUGUGCUCCUCCUGCCCUCUGUGGUUCCCUCUUGAGCCCUGAGUCAGCCCCAGCCCCGCAGCAGUGCCAUGCUCCAUCUCCUUCGGGCUCACCCUGAGCCACAAAACUGUGGUGUGGAUGUGGUUCCCCAGCACAGGGUGAAGCACAGCGCAGCCCUUGGAUACUGGCAGUGCAGGGAUGAGCUCUGGGUCCCCUCAGGGAGGGUGCACUGAGCAGCGGCCACCUGCUUUGCGUGGAAACACGGGAUGUGCUGGUAACCACUGGCUAAGGAAGCAUUUUUGGAGCUGACUACUGGCUGCAAUCAAUAUCUCUCACCACAGCUUCACGGCAGGGAAAAAUGAAAUUCAUCUCUUUUGUCACUCAGUAAUGAAACUCAAUUUCUA
RNAcentral lists this long non-coding RNA (843 nucleotides) under Gallus gallus (chicken). Its description in RNAcentral is "long non-coding RNA NONGGAT009403". The record is from RNAcentral. Lineage: Eukaryota; Metazoa; Chordata; Aves; Galliformes; Phasianidae.